RNAcentral lists this ribosomal RNA (253 nucleotides) under uncultured bacterium. RNAcentral describes it as "partial 16S ribosomal RNA". It matches the Rfam family "Bacterial small subunit ribosomal RNA", at positions 524 to 776 of the family's 1533-position model. The record is from RNAcentral.
UACAGAGGGGGCAAGCGUUGUCCGGAUUUACUGGGCGUACAGCGCGCGCAGGCGGUUGCGUAUGUGAGCGGUGACAUCCGCGGGCUCAACCCGUGGCGGCCCGCUUACACAGCGCGACUGGAGGCAGGGAGAGGGAUGUGGAAUACCCGGUGGAGCGGUGAAAUGCGUAGAGAUCGGGUGGAACACCAGCGGCGAAGGCGGCAUCCUGGCCCUGUACUGACGCUGAGGCGCGAUAGCGUGGGGAGCAAACGGG